CCGCCGCCACGUGACCCAACCACCGCCGCCGCCGCCGACAGCACCCACCACCAGCACACAAGCGCUUCGCAGAGCCACCCGCGCGGUGCCUGGGCGGACUACCAACCUCCUCAGGCCAGCGCACCGAGCCGAGCGGCCGAGCGGCCGAGCCAGCCGGGACGGAGCGGUUCAUCAGAGCAACGAGAAGACUGAACACGUGUACCUGUCAUGACAAUACACCGCCCAGUGUGUUUUUA
Molecule: long non-coding RNA, 236 nt
Organism: Thrips palmi
Lineage: Eukaryota; Metazoa; Arthropoda; Insecta; Thysanoptera; Thripidae
Exons: 3
Source: RefSeq, a predicted model, not a curated record